This 106-nucleotide microRNA precursor is filed under the name Pelobates cultripes (western spadefoot toad). Lineage: Eukaryota; Metazoa; Chordata; Amphibia; Anura; Pelobatidae. The record is from RNAcentral.
CUUGUGUAUAGGUAUCCUUGAUUUCCUAUAGAAGUAGAAACCGUAUAUGGUGCAGUAGGUUUCUACUUCUAUAGGAAAUCAAGGAUACCUAUACACAAGAAGGGUG